This is a long non-coding RNA of Raphanus sativus (radish), 413 nucleotides long. RefSeq lists it as uncharacterized. NCBI's taxonomy places the organism in Eukaryota, Viridiplantae, Streptophyta, Magnoliopsida, Brassicales, Brassicaceae. The record is from RefSeq and is a predicted model, not a curated record. The transcript is spliced from 2 exons.
GCGAAAAAGGCAAGUCGUCGUCGUCUUCUUCCUCAAACUCAGAAUCGAAAUUGGAAAUUGUAUCUCGCCUUUCACCAGAGGACUUGCUACAGCGUCAGGUGUGAAAGUCUUCACCAUUGCGGAGCUGAAGAAAGCGACCAAGGUUUUUGGAGAUCAGGAUAUGAUAAUAAAAGAGAGGUUCGGAGGAGUAGUGAAGGGAUACAUCGAUCCCAAGAUAUGUAGAUCAUUUGAAUGCGAUGGCCAAGAUAUGAGAAGAAGAACUAAUGUUUAUAAAUUAUGUGGAACCAGCUUUUGAAAAAUAAAAAUUUGAGCAGACAAAUCUCAUGUUUAUAAUGGUCAUUAACUAUUCAAGUCCAUGUUCCAGUGUAAGUAACAUGGAAGUGUCUUCAAUAAGACUCUAUAUACCGUUUUCU